RNAcentral lists this ribosomal RNA (470 nucleotides) under uncultured soil bacterium. RNAcentral's name for it is "bacterial SSU rRNA". It matches the Rfam family "Bacterial small subunit ribosomal RNA", at positions 26 to 518 of the family's 1533-position model. The record is from RNAcentral.
AGGACAAACGCUGGCGGCGUGCAUAAAACAUGCAAGUCGAACGGGCUUCAGUCCGCAAGGACUGAAGUGAGUGGCGAACGGCUGAGUAACACGUAGGUGACCUGCCCCGAAGUUUGGGAUAACACCUCGAAAGAGGUGCUAAUACCGGAUGUGACCACCGAUUCAUUUCGGUGCUUAAAGUCGCAAGACGCUUUGGGAGGGGCCUGCGGCGGAUUAGCUAGUUGGUGUGGUAACGGCACACCAAGGCUUCGAUCCGUAGCUGGUCUGAGAGGAUGGCCAGCCAGACUGGGACUGAGACACGGCCCAGACUCCUACGGGAGGCAGCAGUUAGGAAUUUGCGCAAUGGAGGAAACUCUGACGCAGCCACGCCGCGUGAGGGAUGAAGGCCUUCGGGUCGUAAACCUCUUUUCUCAGGAAGACACCCGACGUACCUGAGGAAUAAGCAACGGCUAACACGUGCCAGCAGCCGC